This 67-nucleotide transfer RNA is filed under the name Marmota monax (woodchuck). Its description in RNAcentral is "tRNA.Thr". The record is from RNAcentral. Lineage: Eukaryota; Metazoa; Chordata; Mammalia; Rodentia; Sciuridae.
ACAUGGCUUCAUGGUAGAGCACUUGCCUAGUGUGCAUGAGGCCCUGGGUUCAAUCCUAAGCACUGUG